UACAGAGGUCUCAAGCGUUGUUCGGAUUCGUUGGGCGUAAAGGGUGCGUAGGCGGCGCGGUAAGUCGGGUGUGAAAUCUCGGAGCUUAACUCCGAAACUGCAUUCGAUACUGCCGUGCUUGAGGACUGGAGAGGAGACUGGAAUUUACGGUGUAGCGGUGAAAUGCGUAGAUAUCGUAAGGAAGACCAGUGGCGAAGGCGGGUCUCUGGACAGUUCCUGACGCUGAGGCACGAAGGCCAGGGGAGCAAACGGG
Molecule: ribosomal RNA, 253 nt
Filed under: uncultured bacterium
Lineage: Bacteria
Description: partial 16S ribosomal RNA
Rfam family: Bacterial small subunit ribosomal RNA
Source: RNAcentral